CAAUAGCGUAUAUUUAAGUUGUUGCAGUUAGAAAGCUCGUAGUUGGAUUUCGGUUAAGAGCGACCGGUCCGCCGUUUGGUGUGCACUGGUUGGUUUUAACUUCCUGUAGAGGACGUGCUCUGGGUUUAACGACCUGGACUCGGAGUCUACGUGGUUACUUUGAAAAAAUUAGAGUGUUCAAAGCGGGCUUACGCUUGAAUAUUUCAGCAUGGAAUAACACUAUAGGACUCCUGUCCUAUUUCGUUGGUCUCGGGACGGGAGUAAUGAUUAAGAGGAACAGUUGGGGGCAUUCGUAUUUCAUUGUCAGAGGUGAAAUUCUUGGAUUUAUGAAAGACGAACUUCUGCGAAAGCAUUUGCCAAGGAUGUUUNCAUUAA
RNAcentral lists this ribosomal RNA (375 nucleotides) under uncultured eukaryote. RNAcentral's name for it is "partial 18S ribosomal RNA". It matches the Rfam family "Eukaryotic small subunit ribosomal RNA", at positions 592 to 976 of the family's 1831-position model. The record is from RNAcentral.